CUGGUCAGGUCCAGGAGGGAGCAGCGUCAGUUGGUG
This 36-nucleotide non-coding RNA is filed under the name Skeletonema grethae. Lineage: Eukaryota; Bacillariophyta; Thalassiosirophyceae; Thalassiosirales; Thalassiosiraceae. The record is from RNAcentral.